Molecule: ribosomal RNA, 773 nt
Filed under: uncultured bacterium
Lineage: Bacteria
Description: bacterial SSU rRNA
Rfam family: Bacterial small subunit ribosomal RNA
Source: RNAcentral
CAUGCAAGUCGAACGAAGCGCUUAAAUGGAUUUCUUCGGAUUGAAGUUUUUGUGACUGAGUGGCGGACGGGUGAGUAACGCGUGGGUAACCUGCCUCAUACAGGGGGAUAACAGUUAGAAAUGACUGCUAAUACCGCAUAAGCGCACAGUGCUGCAUGGCACAGUGUGAAAAACUCCGGUGGUAUGAGAUGGACCCGCGUCUGAUUAGCUGGUUGGUGGGGUAACGGCCUACCAAGGCGACGAUCAGUAGCCGGCCUGAGAGGGUGAACGGCCACAUUGGGACUGAGACACGGCCCAAACUCCUACGGGAGGCAGCAGUGGGGAAUAUUGCACAAUGGGGGAAACCCUGAUGCAGCGACGCCGCGUGAGCGAAGAAGUAUUUCGGUAUGUAAAGCUCUAUCAGCAGGGAAGAAAAUGACGGUACCUGACUAAGAAGCACCGGCUAAAUACGUGCCAGCAGCCGCGGUAAUACGUAUGGUGCAAGCGUUAUCCGGAUUUACUGGGUGUAAAGGGAGCGUAGACGGUUGUGUAAGUCUGAUGUGAAAGCCCGGGGCUCAACCCCGGGACUGCAUUGGAAACUAUGUAAUUAGAGUGUCGGAGAGGUAAGCGGAAUUCCUAGUGUAGCGGUGAAAUGCGUAGAUAUUAGGAGGAACACCAGUGGCGAAGGCGGCUUACUGGACGAUCACUGACGUUGAGGUUCGAAAGCGUGGGGAGCAAACAGGAUUAGAUACCCUGGUAGUCCACGCCGUAAACGAUGACUACUAGGUGUCGGG